CCUACGGGAGGCAGCAGUGAGGAAUAUUGGUCAAUGGCCGUAAGGCUGAACCAGCCAAGUCGCGUGAGGGAAGACUGCCCUAUGGGUUGUAAACCUCUUUUAUCCGGGGAUAAAGCUGUCCACGUGUGGCUGUUUGCAGGUACCGCAUGAAUAAGGCACGGCUAAUUCCGUGCCAGCAGCCGCGGUAAUACGGCAGGGCCGGGCGUUAUCCGGUUUUCUUGGGUUUAAAGGGAGCGUAGGCCGGUCUUUAAGCGUGCCGGGAAAUUUUGUGGCUCAAACAUGAGCGUGCGGCGCGAACUGGAGACCUUGAGUGCGCGGAAGGCAGGCGGAAUUCGUGGUGUAGCGGUGAAAUGCUUAGAUAUCACGAAGAACCCCGAUUGCGAAGGCAGCCUGCCGCAGCGUUACUGACGCUGAAGCUCGAAAGCGCGGGUAUCGAACAGGAUUAGAUACCCUAGUAGUC
Molecule: ribosomal RNA, 460 nt
Filed under: uncultured bacterium
Lineage: Bacteria
Description: partial 16S ribosomal RNA
Rfam family: Bacterial small subunit ribosomal RNA
Source: RNAcentral